GAUGAACGCUGGCGGCGUGCCUAAUACAUGCAAGUCGAGCGAUCAGACGAGGCGCUUUACACUCUGACGUAAGCGGCGAACGGGUCAGUAACACGUGGCUAACCUCCCUAUAAGAAUGGGAUAAAUUCGGGUAUCCGGAGCUAAUUCCCGUUCUUAUAUUGAACCGCAUGGUUAAAUAGUGAACGACGGAUUUGCUGUCACCUAUCGAUGGAUCCGCUCCGCAUUAGCUAGUUGGGAAGGUAACGGGUUACCAAGGCAGCGAUGAGUAGCAGACCUGAGAGGGGGAUAGGCGACACGGGAACGUGGACGGGGUCCAGGGUCCUACGAGAGGCAGCAGUAGGGAAUCGUACGCAAUGGGCGAAAGCCUGACGGAGCAGCGCCGCGUGAGUGAUGAAGGUCUUCGGAUCGUAAAACUCGGUUAUUAGGGAAGAACAAAUGUGUAAGUAACUAUGCACGUCUUGACGGUACCUGAUCAGAAAGCCACGGCUAACUACGUG
Molecule: ribosomal RNA, 497 nt
Filed under: uncultured bacterium
Lineage: Bacteria
Description: partial 16S ribosomal RNA
Rfam family: Bacterial small subunit ribosomal RNA
Source: RNAcentral